CCAAAAACCGAGUGCGAUCUAUCGACCGUGUCCCUGAGGCAGGGUAUCGUACGGAUGGUGCGACGCGAUGGACAUCGAUCGAUAAUCGAACCUACUGGAAGACUAAUUAUAAACAUUGAAAAUUUGACAUAUACGCGCGCGCACAUAUUAUUUUUUCUUCGUGCGUGCGUGUGUACACGUUUAUUGUUAUAAGUUUGUUUUAUAACAAAAUUAAUCUUUUUUAUAUCAGCGAGGUUAUAUACAAAAGAAAGAGAGUUGUCGGCAGGCGGUAGCGUGGCCGAGCGGUCUAAGGCGCUGGUUUAAGGCACCAGUCUCUUCGGAGGCGUGGGUUCGAAUCCCACCGCUGCCAAUUUUUUUUCUCCCACACGCGAACCGUACUCGAUACUCGCGACCCCGUGCUUGGACUACGCGACGACCGCGCGGUGUACGAUUAGCGUGAACAGUAGUAGCGUCUUCUGCGAAGGUCCAAUGGGUUGCGUCGGCACGCGGCGCCGUGGUUCACACCUAACAGGAAAACAUGUAUCGCGCGUAGGCUGGCUCUCGACCGCUCUAUGUGCGCGACACCUAUAAAACCGACGGUCUACCUAUAGGUAGACCUAUAGGUCUAACACAUUGAUGACGAGCGUUGAUUAGCCAGAGUUCUACCGUUGUCAAAAGUUAUCGAUACGAAACAGAAAGAAGUAAUUUCUAUUUCGGGUGACGUGACGUCGGAGUAGUUUGGUUCUGUUUCUCUUGUCCGCAAGAGGAUCAAGGUGAAACUGCAACGAUCCACAAGAUGCAGAGCGACCUUACGGAAGCACAAAUUCGAAACUCUUGCAAGUAGAUGGGAUCCUGUUGAUGUUGUUAUCGUCAGGGGCUCGCCAUCCCUGCCGUUUUGGUUAAAAGGGACAGUUAUUGAACGCUUAUGAAACGACGAAGGGGAGAACGAUGCUACUAUGGACCACGCCCAAUUGACGCGUCUCCUGCAGCUCAGGAGAAACUGGUCGACCGCAAAUGAAUAAAUGCAGAUUGUGUCGCAUUUUGCAAGUAUAACAAUUAUUAUUACAUACUAUGCUAAUUAAUGGUAUAAUUAUAUUAUGCACUGCGAUAUAUAUAAUGAUACAUUGUUACAUGUUCGUUACAUCGUGAUUAUCUAACAUAAUUAGUAUAAUUAUAAUUAUUAUGCACGCGUGUAUUUCAAAUUUUGCCAUAACAAAAUUUGUAGUCAUUUAUUUUUUUUAUAACAAAAUAUGUAUUCCUUACAACAAGGAAUAUAUUAAAGAACAAACUAAAGAUACAUGCAAUGUUAUACUAACAAAUUACGGUAUCGAACAAUAUGACAAAUAUUGAAAAUUUCUUUCCUGCAUUCUCAUGUUAUCUUUAAAAAUAACAUUUGAAUAAAAGUUUCAGUAUUUUUCCUGAAUUAUGAUAAAGGUAAA
This is a long non-coding RNA of Ooceraea biroi (clonal raider ant), 1418 nucleotides long. RefSeq lists it as uncharacterized. NCBI's taxonomy places the organism in Eukaryota, Metazoa, Arthropoda, Insecta, Hymenoptera, Formicidae. The record is from RefSeq and is a predicted model, not a curated record.